CGGCCCCCGGCCCGGCGGGCGGCGAGCUGAAGCCGCGCCAGUACGUCGACGGCGGCGAGCCCGGGCGGUCCGAGCCCGCCGACGUCGC
RNAcentral lists this transfer RNA (88 nucleotides) under Streptomyces fumigatiscleroticus. RNAcentral describes it as "tRNA-Phe". The record is from RNAcentral. Lineage: Bacteria; Bacillati; Actinomycetota; Actinomycetes; Kitasatosporales; Streptomycetaceae.